GUUUAACCUACAAGCCAAUAGGUGAUGCUUAUGAGUAAUAGCCAGCUGUGGCUAAUGUGGCUGGGUAUAUACUUGAUCCUUGCUUAUGGGGAAAAGCUUUCUCUUGCCUCAGGCAAUGGACUACUCUCUGAAGUCCACAGUGGUCUGAGCUCUCUGUUCAUCCCUGGGGGGUGGGGGGUGGGGGGUGGCAGUGGGUGUACAAAAUGGGAAGGUCCAAACCUUGCAGAUCCACUUACAGGUUCCCUGAUGGCAGGCACCAGCACCAGAACUGAGGGAGAAUCCAAUGGACAGCCACCAAGCACCCAAAGGUAUGCCUAGGCAUGGUGCUGGGAAACCUCCUCAGCCCCUAGUUCUCUGCAGGGGCAGGGUGGUGGUCUAAAUUCCCAAUUCAGGAGAGAGUGUGUGCUCCAGAUGCCUGUAGUAUAGAGGACCCCGCUUCACCAUAAUCUCUGCACAGGAAAGGUAGGGAGGCUCAGGCUGGUAAUCUAUGCAUACAGGUUCUCUAACUGCUUGGAGAUACAUAUGGGCAUGGUCUGGAGAGGACCCUGCUUCACCACAAUCUCUGCACAAGAAGGGUAGGGCAGCUUAGGCUGCUGAUCUGGGUGAAUGGGUGUUCUGGCUGCCUAGAGAUCUACCUGGGUGGUAUCUGAGGAGGCCCUACUGCACAACAGUCUAUGCACAGGAAGGAUAGGGUGGCACAGCCUGCUGGUCUAGGUGAGUGGGUACUCUGAAUGCCUAGACAUAUGCCUGGGGAUGUGGCAGAGAAGGCCCUAUUGUAUCAUGAUCUAUACCCAGGAAGCAUGGGGCAACUCAGGCUGCUAGUCCAGGCAUUCAGAGCACAUGCUUG
This 847-nucleotide long non-coding RNA is filed under the name Homo sapiens (human). RNAcentral describes it as "HSALNT0063031". Lineage: Eukaryota; Metazoa; Chordata; Mammalia; Primates; Hominidae. The record is from RNAcentral.